This is a long non-coding RNA of Triticum dicoccoides, 412 nucleotides long. RefSeq lists it as uncharacterized. The record is from RefSeq and is a predicted model, not a curated record. The transcript is spliced from 2 exons. Lineage: Eukaryota; Viridiplantae; Streptophyta; Magnoliopsida; Poales; Poaceae.
UCAGCUCAAGUGUUGCUACAUGUUACAGAUAACUAUGGCAUUCCAUUUUAAUGAAUCUGCAUAUUGCUGUUGAGCACCGGAAGCGAGGGAGGGCAUGGCUGCACUGGAGGUUGUCCCAAGGCGAGGGCAGGGCAGAGACAUGCAACAAUGAGGGUUGCAACCGUAAUCAAUAUCUCAACGUCGAAUCAUUUCCUAUAGCCUUCCAGAAAGUUCAUUCUUAUUUUCUGAUUGGGUCAUGUUAGGCCAGCAAAGUAAACCUAGAAAAACUGAUUAGGCAAUGAUGUUUUUGUUUAAUUUUAGUGUUUGGUGUUUGUUUCAGAUAUGAAUAAUUCUGGUUAUGGUUUCUGCAUUGCAUAGUGACGUUAUAAUGAGAUUAGAGAUAGUUGUCACGCAUCUCUUUUCACUACAAACA